CAGUAGCCGCGGGAAUACGUAGGGUGCGAGCGUUAAUCGGAAUUACUGGGCGUAAAGCGUGCGCAGGCGGUUUUGUAAGACAGAGGUGAAAUCCCCGGGCUCAACCUGGGAACUGCCUUUGUGACUGCAAGGCUAGAGUACGGCAGAGGGGGAUGGAAUUCCGCGUGUAGCAGUGAAAUGCGUAGAUAUGCGGAGGAACACCGAUGGCGAAGGCAAUCCCCUGGGCCUGUACUGACGCUCAUGCACGAAAGCGUGGGGAGCAAACAGGAUUAGAUACCCCGGUAGUCCCUGUCUCUUAUAC
Molecule: ribosomal RNA, 301 nt
Filed under: uncultured bacterium
Lineage: Bacteria
Description: partial 16S ribosomal RNA
Rfam family: Bacterial small subunit ribosomal RNA
Source: RNAcentral